This 911-nucleotide ribosomal RNA is filed under the name uncultured archaeon. RNAcentral describes it as "bacterial SSU rRNA". It matches the Rfam family "Archaeal small subunit ribosomal RNA", at positions 33 to 924 of the family's 1478-position model. The record is from RNAcentral.
UCGAGGUGGGACUAAGCCAUGCUAGUCGAACGAACAGAACAAUGUCUGUUAGUGGCGUACUGCUCAGUAACACGUAGCUAACCUACCCUUAAGACGUCGAUAACCCCGAGAAAUUGGGGCUAAUAAACGAUAGAUAUGAUGUCCUGGAAUGGUAUCAUGUCGAAAGGUAUUCCAUACAUGUUUGGUAUACGCUUAAGGAUGGGGCUGCGGCCGAUCAGGCAGUUGGUGAGGUAAUGGUUCACCAAACCAUUGACCGGUACGGGCCAUGAGAGUGGUAGCCCGGAGAUGGACACUGAGACAAGGGUCCAGGCCCUACGGGGCGCAGCAGGCGCGAAACCUCCUCAAUGCACUAACGUGCGAAGGGGUUACCUCGAGUGCUAUCUGAAGAAGGUGGCUUUUCCUUGGUCUAAAAAGCCUUGGGAAUAAGAGGGGGGCAAGACUGGUGUCAGCCGCCGCGGUAACACCAGCCCCUCGAGUGGUGGGGAUGGUUAUUUGGCCUAAAGCGUCCGUAGCCGGCCGGAUAAGUUUCCCGUUAAAUCGAACGUCUCAAGCGUUGGACUGCGGGAAAUACUGUCUGGCUAGAGAGUGGGAGAGGUCUGCGGUAUUCUGGGGGUAGGGGCGAAAUCCUUUGAUCCCCGGAGGACCACCAGUGGCGAAGGCUGCAGACUAGAACACGUCUGACGGUCAGGGACGAAAGCUGGGGUAGCGAACCGGAUUAGAUACCCGGGUAGUCCCAGCCGUAAACGAUGCAUGCUAGGUGUUGGGUUGGCCACGAGCCACCCCAGUGCCGCAGGGAAGCCGUUAAGCAUGCCGCCUGGGAAGUACGAUCGCAAGAUUGAAACUUAAAGGAAUUGGCGGGGGAGCACCACCAGGCGUGAAGCCUGCGGUUUAAUUGGAGUCAACGCCGGGAA